AUCGCUUCUCGGCCUUUUGGCUAAGAUCAAAGUGUAGUAUCUGUUCUUUUCAGCUUAAUACUGAUGGUUACACUUAAAUAAGCAUAACCGUAAAGUUUUUUUUUUGAUAAUUUGAAAGUUGAUCAUAU
RNAcentral lists this small nuclear RNA (128 nucleotides) under Danaus plexippus plexippus. RNAcentral's name for it is "U2 spliceosomal RNA". It matches the Rfam family "U2 spliceosomal RNA". From Rfam's summary of the family: U2 is a small nuclear RNA (snRNA) component of the spliceosome (involved in pre-mRNA splicing). Complementary binding between U2 snRNA (in an area lying towards the 5' end but 3' to hairpin I) and the branchpoint sequence (BPS) of the intron results the bulging out of an unpaired adenosine, on the BPS, which initiates a nucleophilic attack at the intronic 5' splice site, thus starting the first of two transesterification reactions that mediate splicing. The record is from Rfam by way of RNAcentral. Lineage: Eukaryota; Metazoa; Arthropoda; Insecta; Lepidoptera; Nymphalidae.